GGAACGGAAAGGAAAGAAGUUUUCGUUCAGAGAUAAAUUCCCCUUUUUUUGUGUGGUUUUGAAAGAAUCUGCGAUCUUCAGAACCUGUGGGGCCUUGCUUUUGCGGUUGGAAAUGCAGAUACAGCAACAGGCUCUACAGUGCUGGGGGAGUCCGUGACUUUGUUUCACUGGUUACUAUGAGAACGAUCCUGUCCCGCGGCGCACCGUGACGUCACAGCCCGGCGACGCGGAAGCGGACGACGUGUGCAGGCGCGCGGCAGCGCCGUGAGGACAGGUGAGUAUGAUUUGCACACUGAUAUCUUUGUCUGUGAUGUAUUUAAAUGUUUUGUAUA
Molecule: long non-coding RNA, 332 nt
Organism: Pseudophryne corroboree (corroboree frog)
Lineage: Eukaryota; Metazoa; Chordata; Amphibia; Anura; Myobatrachidae
Exons: 3
Source: RefSeq, a predicted model, not a curated record